RNAcentral lists this long non-coding RNA (540 nucleotides) under Ficedula albicollis (Collared flycatcher). RNAcentral's name for it is "lncRNA (ENSFALG00000023340.1)". The record is from RNAcentral. Lineage: Eukaryota; Metazoa; Chordata; Aves; Passeriformes; Muscicapidae.
UUGUUUUGAUAGAGCUGCUCCUUAUGCUCAAACUGUGUAAGCUGAAGAACAGCAAGCUCUUCUCUGCAGCAAGCUCUGGCUGAGUAUUUGCUUUUUUCCUUUGCAGAUCCCCCUGGAUCCACUCCAUUCCAUCCUUCUCAUUGUGCAAUUAAGAACUGAAAUGGGAAUGUGAUCGUUCAAUCUAAUACCGAGGCCCCUGUGGACGGGCACUUCAUUUCUCUCCUGCCUGUUGUAACGGCAAGUCCCCACAUUUAUUCCCCUGGUGCUCUGCUGUGCUGCUCUGCUUCUUCAGGAAAAUCUCUUCAGGCUUCUGAUAACCACUGAGCCAGGAGCUGACUCAAGCACAACAUUUAGACUUUUGAAGCACCCGUGGAGUUUCAAGGAAACCUGCAUCUUCUGUAGAAUGUAAGAAGAAGCUUCAAGAGUAUCACCAAAAGAUACUGGUAACAGUUCAGAGGUUUGAUAGCAAUUUUUAGCAGAACCUUUUGAAUGUGUCCAUAAUUCCCCUGCAAAUUUAAUAAGGCAUCUUGGGACAAUCUC